Molecule: ribosomal RNA, 261 nt
Filed under: uncultured bacterium
Lineage: Bacteria
Description: partial 16S ribosomal RNA
Rfam family: Bacterial small subunit ribosomal RNA
Source: RNAcentral
UACGAAGGGGGCUAGCGUUGCUCGGAAUCACUGGGCGUAAAGCGCACGUAGGCGGGUCCUUAAGUCGGGGGUGAAAUCCCGGAGCUCAACUCCGGAACUGCCUUCGAUACUGGCGAUCUUGAGUCCGGAAGAGGUGAGUGGAACUCCUAGUGUAGAGGUGGAAUUCGUAGAUAUUAGGAAGAACACCAGUGGCGAAGGCGGCUCACUGGUCCGGUACUGACGCUGAGGUGCGAAAAGCGUGGGAGGAACAAGAUGAUACUA